GACGAACGCUGGCGGCGUGCUUAACAUAUGCAAGUCGAGCGGUAAGGCCCUUUCGGGGGUACACGAGCGGCGAACGGGUGAGUAACACGUGGGUGACCUGCCCUCAGCUCUGGGAUAAGCCUGGGAAACCGGGUCUAAUACUGGAUAUGACUCCAUGACGCAUGUUGUGGGGUGGAAAGCCUUGUGCGGCUGAGGAUGGGCCCGCGGCCUAUCAGCUUGUUGGUGGGGUGAGGCCUACCAAGGCGACGACGGGUAGCCGGCCUGAGAGGGCGACCGGCCACACUGGGACUGAGACACGGCCCAGACUCCUACGGGAGGCAGCAGUGGGGAAUCUUGCGCAAUGGGCGAAAGCCUGACGCAGCGACGCCGCGUGAGGGAUGACGGCCUGGUGUAAC
This 395-nucleotide ribosomal RNA is filed under the name uncultured bacterium. Its description in RNAcentral is "bacterial SSU rRNA". It matches the Rfam family "Bacterial small subunit ribosomal RNA", at positions 28 to 429 of the family's 1533-position model. The record is from RNAcentral.